RNAcentral lists this long non-coding RNA (1035 nucleotides) under Equus caballus (horse). RNAcentral describes it as "lncRNA (ENSECAG00000050055.1)". Lineage: Eukaryota; Metazoa; Chordata; Mammalia; Perissodactyla; Equidae. The record is from RNAcentral.
CUGGGAUUAACAUACGACUUAGACCUGCAACUAAGACAUACAGCUAUGUACGGGGGGGUGGGUUUAGGAAAUAAAGCAGAAAAAAAAAAAGGUUGGCAAAAGUUGUUAAAAAAAAAUAUACGACUUAGGAUACUAAAAUUUAGCCUUAAAAUUGAAGGUAAUUCGGGUACUUACUAAAUAUUCUUAUUGCACACAUAAUUGCCAUUGCUCUUGAUCUUAAAGGGUUACAAAAAUAACAGGAUCAUUUUGAAGGAUUAAUGGCCAUGUCUCAUGCCUCACCUUUCCAAUCAUACCUUCAAAUCUGAUAUCUUGAGGCCUCAUCAAGUUGACUAACAGAGAGUCAAGUGAUUUCCAGGAAAUACAUCCCUCAAAAUUUUCUGAGGAUUCCAAGGGGUCUUGCACAGACAGGGAAAUUGAGGUACAGGAAGCUGAGGUAACUUGCCUGGAUCACUUAUCUUGGAAGAGGCUGAAUCAAUUCAAAUCUAGACAUUCUGGGACCUGGACCUGACUUCUUAACUAGAGCUUUUGACAUCUGCCCUUCUGAUAUCCAACUAAUGACUGGGACAUCACACAACUCAUUGAUCACCUCCUGGGCUGACUUUGACAUUGGGCAUCUGCAUCAUUUUUACUCGCUUGUUCAAGUUGUAGGUGCCAGGCAGUCUCUGAGGAGUUGUUGAUAGAUGAAGAAAGAGUCCUGUUCACAGCCAAGAAAGCAAGGAACAGACUGACCACAGGUGGGAGACACACCUACAAGAUAUUCAUCAUCACUGACAGAAGAAAAGAACAAUGAAAGACCCUGGAAUCCGUCAUGCCUGAAGGCUGACAUUUCUAAACCCUCUCCUUACUGUCCACUUUCCCUAUAUAAUUGCUUCAAGAUUCUGUAAUCCUUGAAGAUGGUUUUUUUGAGACAUUAGUCUACCAUCUUCCUGAUUAUGCUGGCUCAUAAAAUUAAAACUUCCUUUCUCCAUUCCUAACUUGUUGUAAUUAAUUGACUCAGAUUACGGGGAGAAGAGUGAACCCAUUGCUCAGUUUCAC